UAUAACAUCAUAAUGGUAAUAUAUAUAUUAUAUAUAAUAUAUAUAUACUAUUUGGGUUUGAAAAGUCUAAACAAGAAGACUUAACAUUGCAUUUUUAAAAAGAUACUGCUAUACGUCUUAAACAAAGAUAGACUUUUGUUCUUAUUCUAUACAAGUUGGAAUUUGUUACAGAAAUGGAUCAGAGACUAGGUCCCAAGAGGAUGUAUCAAAAUGUUUUAAAACUGGAAACCUAUAAUAAGUAUAUUUUUGCAGAUCACUUGUAACAAACUAUAGCUGGUAUAAAAUAAUGGAGCUAAGGAGGGGAAAGCAAAGUGAAAAUUUCAAAAUAUUCAGGUUCUGUCUGAUUAUAACAAGAAAAAUCAGAUGGUUUCACGGAGUCCUUAACUUUCCUGAGUUUUUGUUUUAUUCUGGAUUUCUGUGACCCCCUUAAUUCCUGGCCAUCUGCCUGGACUCCUCUGACUUUGGCUUCUGUUUGGGGAGCUUUGUGAGUCAUGUUCUUUGCUACACUCAUGAUUAUUUGCCAGUCCAGUGGAGGUUUGCCCCUGCCCAGAUUGUGCUCGGCAACAGACUCCAGAAGCCCAGGCAUAUCUCAACCUCUUUCUCUGCAUUCCUCACUUCUAAUUGUAUCUCAAGUUGCACCUGCCUGAGCUUCUUAAUACAAAUCUGUCUCCCAGACUAGGCCAGAACAGAGGAGAAUCUUGUCCAGGGCUAAGGUCAGCAAAGUACCUUCAGGUACAAACUAGGGAAGGUAGGCUAAAGAAGUGGUUUUCAACCUGUGGGUUGUGACCCCUUUGGGUCAAAUGACUCUUUCACAGGAAUCACCUAAGAGCACCCGAAAACAAAGAUAGUUACACUACAUUUCUAAAGAGGAGUGAAACUACAGUUAAAAAGUGGCAACAAAAGUAAUUUUAUGGUUGUGGGGUUACCACAACAUGAGGGACUUUAUUAAAAAGUCAUAUCUUUAGAAACAUUGAGAACCAUUGUCCUAAAGAGUCCUGCAAAGUUGGGCAGUGUCUGAAAACAGUUGCAUGUGGCUUCAUUUUGUCUACUUUACAAUAAGAUGAGAUUAGUUCUUGAUAUUUUCUCACAGCCAAGGGAAGAAAUGUGGACUAUAUCACGUUAGCCGUAUUUUGCCAUCUGCUAUGUGGUUGUGAAAUAGGAUCUCUAUAGGCUGGACUAGCCAGUGUUCUCCAGAGAAACAGAACCAACAGGAGAAAUACAUAUUUAAUGUUCUACUGGUGAUCUAUAAACACUCUAGUAAUUAUAUUAGUAUUAUGUGAAUAUAAAAGAUGAGAGGUCUCCCAAUCUCCCAAUGAAAAUAUGGUGGUAGAAUGUGAAGGUGUGAGAGCCAAAGAUGUGUGAUGUCUAAGCUAAUAUGGAUGUGAAAUUCUGAGACCGAGGAGUGUUGAAGGCAGGAAACUGAGCCUCAGCUAAACUAGUCAAAGAAAGAAAUCUAUAUUCUUCCUCCUUUCCUUUCUAUCCAGGCCCCAGGAGACUGGCGGGAACCUAUCCUCAUUGGGCGAAGAAGACAAGUCUGACCCAGUUUUAUUUGUUUUUUCUUUAAUUACUGAUUUCUUCCAUAGACACUGCCACUCAGAAGUAACGCUUACCUAGGUAUCUGGGCAUCCCAUUGCCCAGGCAAACUGACACAAAACUAACCAUCAUAGGAGGCUUUGUUUUCCUUUCCUUUUUUAAAAAUCACAUCUUAAAAGUUUCGAUUUCUCAUUAAACGCCAGUCAAGUUAUAAGUCCCAGAUGAUGUAAGUAUUUAAAAUUAUAAGCCUAAACAGACUGGAGUUAGGCAACAAUGCCAUCCAGCUCAUGCCAUAUCAGUACAUGAUGUGCUGGUAUCCACAUAACCCCAACUAAUUUCUUCAUCACCAAUGGAGAAUGUGGACAUUCGGGGACUCAAAACCACAGUAAAGUGGCCUCCUAACCCCUUUCUUAUGCCCUUGUGGUAGUUUGAAUGUAAUUGGCCCCCAUAAUCUCAUAGGGAGUGGCAAUGUUAGAAGGUGUUGCUUUGUUGGAGUGGGUAUGGUCUUGAUGGAGGAAAUGUGCCACUGUGGCAUCGGUCUUUGAGGUUUCCUAUGCUCAGGAUGCUCUCUGGUGUCUCAGUUGACUUCCUGUUGCCUACAAGAUGAAGCAGCUCCAGCACCACGUCUUUCUGCAUGCCGUCCUGCUCCUGUUAAGAUGGCAAAGACUGAACCUCUGAAACUAUAAGCAAACCACCACGAUUAAAUGUUUUCUUUAUAAGAGUUUCCAUGGUCAUGGUGUCUCUUUGCAGCAAUAAGAACCCUAACUAAGACAGCCACCAGAUGCUGUCUUGUGAAGGGUCUCCAUAUGGGAGAUUUCUCUGCAGAUGGCCUCUGUCAUCUCAAUAUUCAAUGUCAUCUACAUAGCAAACAGAAGUCACCACGAGCUCAGAACUCUUGGAAUGGUUGGGUUACUACAUAGCUAAGUUCCUGCAGCAGUUACUUUGUUAUUACUGCUCAACUCUCCCAUUGUAACACAAACAAUGUGGCUUUCCUGGUAUGGGGACAGUGAUCUGCUCAUAGGGUUGAGUGACUGGAGACACUUGUCAUGGGCCCAUGGAGAAGGCUCUGCUACUAUCCUCCAGCGUGCACAGAUGUGGAUUUCCUCAUGGGUGUUCUCUAAAGCCUCCUACCCACCUUCUGCUGCCAGCCCUACUUACUCCCACAGUCUCUGAAGGAGCAAACAUUUCAUUAUCGGAAAAACUCCCCUGUGACUUCUUUCCCUCCCCUCUGAUUUCCACUAUAAAUGACUUGGCGUAAGUGGUUCCUUUUUCUGCUGCCACCUGACAGCUGCAUAGUAGGUCAGCUGGCAGAUGUGCUUAUGGCUUCUAGGACAGGUGGGUCAGCCUCUCAGCCUGGUGAUAAAUGACAUGGUCACUGUGUCAUACAAGAAAGUGCCGUGUAUUGAUGAACAAACAAGUGUCCUUAGCAGUCUGCAUGAAUUCCAACUAUGGUCUAUUUGCAUUCCUUUGUUUCAUGAAAACCACAUAAGUGAUAAGUGUAAGGAUGCUCAUCCCAAGAAGGAGUAAGCAGGAAGAGAGGGGUGUUUGGCAAUUCGGGGUUGGUGAUAGCUAUCUUACAAAUAUAAUCCAAACCUAGCACCGUGAAGAUGGCCAGACUCACAUACUCUUAUUUGUUUCACUGAGCUUGAGGAGGCAAUAUCUUGGUGUUUUCUAAGUCGGAUGACUCAAUUAUUAAUAAUAGCUAUUUGUUGGAUUGUAGGGCAUUAUCUGAAAAUGUUUUCUUGGAUCUGACUAAUGAUUUGAAUUUAAAUAUGCUAUCCUCGGUGCCCCCAGAAUAUCUUCAGUUUUCUAUGACAGGUUCAAACAGUGAGCACCCUAUUGUUAUUUACUCGCUGGGGAACAGGAUGGAAGAAGUGCUUAGGCAUAUCAGACAUUUUAAAGUUUAAUAGCUACCAAGAUGAGAAUGGCAGGUAGACUCUUACAAAUGCUACAUUUUUUUUAAUAUCUUGUGAAAUUCCCCAAGAAGCUCCAUAGCAACAUUUGCAAGUAUUUAUGUAAGAAAGUGAGUUUAGGAAACGUUUAAAUAUUUAUGGAAUGUUAGAAGUGAGGCAUUAAUUGGCAAACAACUUAAUUAAAAUGCUUUCUCAAGUCAUUAGCAACAAAUACUUCCCUAUCUGCUUUGCAUGCCGUUUGUCUUGUUGUGUUUGCUAAGCCCGCCUGUCAGUCAAACUUUGCUUCAGGUGAUUUUUUAGCUCUGUGGGGAACAUCUUCAAAAAUUACAUCUGAAUUUAAAAUAUUUUGAUUAUCAUUUUUAUCUAACAAAUUCUCUUUUUCACUUCAUCUUCUAUAUGUCCCAGUAAACCUCCAUCCUGGGAGCUUAGGGCCUGAAGAUGAAAUUCUGCAUCAAGCAUUUCCGAGCCUCCCCAAGUGCUCUCCAGAGAACAAACUGAAUCAAUCUAGAAUCCACAAACAGUGCAGUUAAUUAAUGAGAGCACCAUGAGGGAGCUUUUUUAAACAAUGUUGACGGCUGCUGCCUCAGGACCAAUAGUACCAGAAGUUAUUGCUGGUUUGAAAGAAGCGACUCUUAGGGUUCCCCCAAGGCACCUUCGCUUGCAUUAGCUAUUUACUGCAACUUUUCCUCUUAUUUGCACCCUAGAGGAAGAGCACUUAUUUCCUAAAUUACUUUUAAAGUGAUGCUUACGCUUGCCAGUAGCCUGAGGUACAGAGAGAAAAGUGGCGCAGAAUAAACAAAACAGAAACCAAGUCGGAGAAACUGCUGCAAAGUCUACAGGAAAAGCACUUAGACUCGGGACUGUGUUUCAAAUCAGAAAUGCUAUGAUGCCACGUAAAGGCUGAGGUUUGCUCGACACAGGCCUGGUCUGGCCAGGGAGAGCAUAAGGGUCCAUAGCAAAGGGUGAGGCUUGCAGAGAAGGGUGAUGGUAUGGGGCAUGAGGAGUAGGAAGAUAGAAACAUUUACCUGAGUAAGAAGCCCCAUUAAACUAAGACAACACAAGGACACUUCGUUCUUCUCGGUAUUGCACCUCAGUACCUCCCAACAUCACAUCCCAGCACUUAGCUGUCAAAAAAAAAAAAAAAACAUUCAUUGCUCUUAAAAUAGUGCCUGACACAUUGUAGUUGGUUGGUGACGGAAAUGAACAGAAACUGGAAAGGAAAACCCUACAUCUCUUCCCAUAACUUUCUCGACAAUGAGAAACACGUAGAGCAAUCCUUCCAUUCAGAGUUGGCUGCUUCCCUUCCUGCCUAACAUGUGGUAAAAGAAAUAAGAUCUAAUAGAUUUUUCUCUACCUCAUAACAGGUUUCGCCACUGACACAGUAAGCCAGAUCACGGCAAAUUGAAAAAGCAAAAGAACAGGUUUGUUUUGAGCAAAUCAACUCCCAGGUGAGUCCUCCAGCCCCCAGAGAUCAAGCCAGGAGAUGGGGCAGGAGAAAUCCUUUGGCCAAUCUAAAGAGGGGCAGGAGCCGGGUGGUGGUGGCACACGCCUUUAAUCCCAGCACUCGGGAGGCAGAGGCAGGCGGAUCUUUGUGAGUUCGAGGCCAGCCUGGUCUACAAGAGCUAGUUCCAGGACAGGCUCCAAAGCCACAGAGAAACCCUGUCUCGAAAAACCAAAAAUAAAUAAAUAAAUAAAUAAAAAUAAAGAGGGGCAUGUAGGCAAGGCAUGGUGACAGGUGGUGACAUGUUGUCCAAUACAAGCUGGGUUUGUACUCAAUUAUAACUCUUUGGAUGGGCAUUUGGGCAUGUGGCAACUUCAGGGAAGGAACGGAAUGCAGAACUCAACCUUUUGGUAGCUUUUCUUUGUUGGAGAUUCUUUAAGAGGGUUGGAUUUGGAGAAACAGCUUUGGCAGGAAUGAGAUGUACAUUUCAGCCCAAAAAGAGCCAUGCAUUUCAGUCAUUAGAUAAUUAUUUUCAAUAAACCUGCUAGAUGCAGUGCACUGGGCUAGAUUAAUAGGAAUUAGAGAACAGAUCUGGUUCUUGCCCUUAAUUUUUACUCUGAGGAGGAAAUCAGAUCUGAAUUACUAACAACUCCAGUAUAUAACUAUAAAAUGUGCUAAGUCACUUAAGACCAUUACUGGGUUGUACGGCAGACUAUCAGUGAGUUCAGAAGUUUAGAAUUUUCCUUUACAGAGAAGUACAAUUUAAGGACGACGUAGGUACUAGGGCUUCACCAGAAUGUUUCUCUUGCAUAUUUCUUGUGAAUGAAGAUCUUAUUCAACCUCUGACAACGAGCAGGUCAGGCCAUCAGGAGCUCAGCGUACACUGCGAUUCUAAGCCCUUCAACCAGUGUGACCAACGAGACUAUUAUAGUGGAAAAAGAAGUCAUCAAAUUCAUGGACUCACAAUUCCCUUUCCUACUGAGAUCCUAUGUCUGAAAGAAGAAAAAAAAUGAUUCCUUUAAUUGAAAACAAAUUAGAGUUUCCAAUUUGAAAGUAGGUUUAUUGGUAGCAAUAAUACCAUGGAAAUAUAUUAACUGGUGAUUUGCUGUACCUCAAGAGACAUUUUUACAUUCUUUUAUUUAUUUAAUUACUUAUUAGUAGUUUUAUUGGACUAAAAAUUUGUGUGUGAUUUUCAGGCCAAAAUCCCACGUGCGAUGUGUGUAGUUUCUAGGUGUGUGGGUGGGUACAUGUGUGUGUGUAUAUGUGGAGGUCAGAAGAAAAUCUCAGUAGUCAUCUAUCUAACUUAAAAAUAACAAAAACAACAACAAAAAAGGACCUUUCAUUGGGAUCUUUGGCUUACACACUGAGUUCCAGAGACCCUUCCUUAGCUACCUCCCCAGUACUGGGCUCACAAAGGCACACUACCAUUUCCAGCUAUUUACCUGAGUGAUUGAGACUAAACUCAGUUCCUUAUGCUUGUCCAACAAGCACUUCCUUGAGUCAUCUCCCCAGCCCCAACAAGAUUCCUGUUGUUUAUCUUAAUCAUGUUAGAAAUGAUUAAGAAUUAUUAAAAAGGCAUCUCAUUGAAUGCUUUUUUUGAAGUUUAAGAAACAUUUCAAUAGAAAAUUCUUUUUUGCACCCUAUUUAUUUUUGCUCUAAAAGUCAUUCUUGUUAUAAACUUCCUAAGCAUUUCUGUUGAAAAGACUAUCAGGUGAAUAGUUUCACACUUUUAUAUGCUCAAAAAUUCUUGAGGUAGAAAAAGAUCCAAGGCAAUAUACUCAGUAUAGUCACAACUGCAUUCCAACUCUUGUGAAAAAUAUGAGUGGACAGAAUCAUUGAAAAUCAAAUGUAUUUUCCUUUGGAAUGAAUUCCUUCUGCUAGAGGUUAGCUUUACUUCUGAGCUUUGCUCAGUUUGUAUGGGGAAGACUUCAUAAAAGAGAGGGAAAGGUGUCCCGAGAAUGUGUGAACUGGCAGAGGAAAAACAGUUUUUUUUUUUUUUAAUUUCAGAAAGUUCAUAAAGACUACCUGUAUUUUGUCCCUAAUUAAAUAUCACAGGAAAACAUCAGUGGAUACUGUGCUGUUGUGUCUUAGAAGCCAUUGCUUAAUAGAAGACACUUCUUGCCUCUUAACAAGAUUGCUAAUGCUGAUUUCCUCUAUGAGGGUUUGGUCAGCAUUCUACAAACAUAUUUCUGUAUUUGAGAGAUCAAUUCUUUCACCAGGUUGUUGUAGCACGUGUCAUUAGUCCCAGCUUUUGGGAAGCAGAGGCAAAUGGAUCUUUUAGUUAAUGGCUAGCCUGAUCUUCAGAUGGAGUUCCAUGACAGCUAGUCCGACAUAGAGAAACCCUGUCUCAAAAAUAAAAACAAAAACAAAUCAAGGAAAUAAAAAAUAGAAUUCUUCUACUCUCUCUCUCAUUUACCCAAUGUAUGACCAGUGCCGUGAAAUAGAGAUGGGACUUGAUCGGGGGAGGGAGACUUGAUCGGGGGGAGGGGGAGGGAAAUGGGAGGCAGUGGCAGGGAGGAGGCAGAAAUCUUUAAUAAAUAAAUAAAUUAAAAAAAAGGUUAGGACAGAUAGAUUUACACAUACAGAUAGGGCUACAGUCACAGACAUAAGCAUCCACAUGUAAAGAUAGAUGAUAGACAAUAAAAAUAUGAAAUCACGGCUUUCAUUAAAAAAAUAAAUCUUUAAAGAUACACAGAAAAAAGACUGAAAGAUAAUGAGUGUCAUACAUUUAACUUGUAUCUCUUAGUGGCUAUAUUAUAUGUAUAGUAGAGAUGGGUUGGUUUUGGAAACAGGCAUUGCUCUUCCUGUGCAUAAUUUUUUCCAACUCCUUUGUCCUGUAAGCUAUUUCCAACUGAUAAAAUUAAAUCUCCACACUGAUAAAAGAUACCAUAAUUGAUUAAAAACUACAUUUUUCAGGUUAAUGAGGCCAUGAAGGUUGGUUUGUUCGUCAGUUGUUACCAUAACAAAUACGCAAUACAUCAACUUAUAAAGAAGAAAAACUUUUUUUAAUCAUCAGGAGAACCUUUUGCUUUUAGACUUUUGAAGAUCAUAUGGUAGAGAUACAUUCACAUUAUGGGUAGAAUACAAAGUGAGAAGAGCCCAGGGUCCCUAUCCCAUUUUAAGUGAUUGUGAGAAGUUUUACUGCCUCUACCGUGCUCCGCUGUUUUCUAGUAGCCAACUAUGGGAAACAGUCUUGGUAUAGGGGCCUUGCUAGGACCCACAGAUACAGACUAUGGCUGGCAAAAGAAAAAUAAGAAAACAAGAUCAGCUUUGUCUUUAGGUAUGAUUCAUGGUGGACAGAAAAAAAAAAAAAAAACCAUGCCUGUCUACUGGCAAACAAACACACUCUAGAGAUUACAGUGAGCUCAUGGGGCCCUGGAGGCUGGUUCGCAUAAAAACUAUGGAUUACAGUGAGCUUAUGGGGCGGUGGAGGCUGGUUCACAUAACAAUUCCAUUUUACUCUACCUCUUAUACCUCCAUUCAGAAAUCCCCCAGGUCUAGGUACUGGGAAAUGCUUCUCUUCACCUUACUGUGCACACACACUCCUGCUCUCAUGUACAAAUCUAGGGGUUUCCAAUCUUCGGCUAAGUUACUUAACCCGUUGUUAUUUUCAAAUCAUACUUGAGUCAAAGGUAACAAAUGUACAAUAUCUGUAAUGCCACAGACAUCAAUAGAUAAUUUAUUAAAAUAAGGAUAAUUUGGAGAAAAAAGUAAAAACCAAGGAAUAAAAUUAAUUUUCAUGAGGUAAAUAUUUAGAAAGAACAUUCAGUAAUCACUGCCUGAAAAAAGAAAAAAAGAAUACCAAAGAGGAUGGGUUGGCAUGAGAUGCAGACUCUAAGAAACAAAAAAGGAUACAAGUAUUAAAAUGGAUGACAGAAAAGAGCAAAUUAUUUUUGAAGAAUCUUUUCAUUUAUGCUAAUCAUUUAUUCUUCCAAGGGGAACAUGGGUAUAAUGCUGAAGAACUAUAAAAAGGAGCCAGAAGACUGCUCAACUAUGAUCCAAAUUAACACUCUCUGAGAAGAGUGUUAAUUGUCACCUCUGCUACAAACCACAAAUUGAGGUAUUCAAUAGCAGCGGAUACUUAAGGACCCAAACAAGCAACAUCUAUUUGAAUAUAACUGUCAGUGUCAAUGUCAAAAAAACAGUAAUAUCAGGUAUUGUAUUAAAAGAAUAAAUGUGGACAUUUUUCACGUAAUAAUCAUUGCCUCUAUGAAGAGGAGAUAUUUUGGCAGCAUUGAAAUUGAAAGAUUUACUUAUGAAGAAUGAUAUCAAUGUAGCUAAGAUCUGAAAACUCAAUCCAGUUAUUCUUUAAUGUUCAGGUGUUGAUUAGGGUUUUUAGUGGGGUAGCUGGUAAUUGAACCCCAGGCUUCACAGACAGUAGGCAUGUGAUUUUUCAUAAAGCCACAUUCCAAGCACUUAGUCUUGCUAAAAAAUUCUUCACUGAAGCCUAGGAUUCUGUGAUGUGAGAUUCCCCUCUGUAUGCUUUGAAUAUGUUUUAUUGUCAUUGGUUAAUAAAGAAGCUGCUUUUGGCCAAUGGCUUUACAGAACAUAGCCAGGCUAGCAAAGAUAUAUAGAGAGAGUAGUCAGAGAAGAAGCCACAUAGCCACGAGAGGAGAAAGACAUGAGCUGCCCAUUGGAUAUCUUACAAAUAAACCACAAGCCUUAUGGUAAAAUAUAAAAUAACAAAACUAGGUUAAUUUAAGAUAUAAGAGCUAGCUAGCAAUAUGCUUAAGUGAUUGGCUAAGCAGUGUGUUUUAAUUAAUACAGUUUCUGUGUGGUUAUUUUGGGUAUGGGCAGUUGGAAAUGAAAAAGUAGCCUCUGAGAGAAUUCUGGGUUCUUUCUAUAAUUUAAGUUGGACCAUAUCAAUUUCAAACUCGCAAGAUUCCUUUAACUUCAAAAUGGAGGAGAAUGGUGUUGUGAGUUUUCAAGCAGCUCAUGCCAAGGCAUCUUCUUUAUUUGUGAAGUACUUGUUGCCUUUUCUAUUUUGCAUUGUUGAAACUCGGGUAGAAUUUAGCCAACUUCCAUGGUGCAAGGGCAUCUGUGCAUUUAUCCCAAUGUGUUUAACAUGCUGCUGUCAAGUGAGAGAUAUACAUGCAGUCCAGAAUAAAAGAUUUGAUUUCCCAGAGCCCUGGAGAUACCUCUUAGAACAGGAGUGUCUGUUUGGAUUAGAUGGUUUCCAGUUAAACAGAUGGGGUACCAGUCUCCUGGGAUUGAAACUGGCAGAACCUUCUAGGGCAUUCAAUAAAAGAAUCAACAUUGUUUAAAGAGGAAUCAAAAAGGCUAGGGUCAAAAAAAGACAUGGUUUUGCAUGGCAGUAAUAAAGUAGACUUACCUACAAUAUAAAUGUGCCAAUGAAUAUGAUUUCUUCCAUAAAGUAAAAUUAUGUAAAUUAAUAAAAAUAUAAGCACACAUAUUUUCAGAUUUUAAGAUUUUUAUACAAUAGUCAUACAAAUUUAUCAUAAAAAUUUUCAUGGAAAAAUUAGUACCCUAUGGCUUAAAAUUAAGAUGAUCCAUGUCAAAUGUUUAUCUCUUUUCCUGCCAUUUUACCAAGUUCUCAUAACACUUGAUGACUAUUCUUAAGGUUUUAUAGUCUGAAAACAUGACUAAUAUUCAUCAUGAAGGCAAGACAUUCCAGGAAUGAGUUUCAACCUAGAGGGUAGAAACUAUGAUUUCAAAUCCCCUGUUUUCUUAUUUGAGAAACACAGAUGUGGUAGAAGGGAACCAAUCAACUAAAAAAUAACAAUAGUCUUUCAACAGUAUAUUACCUUCCCCUUUGAAGAAGAGUUCCCUUUAGGAACCUGGAGCAAGUGCAGAUGAGGAGACUGAAUUCAGUUCUACAUGUGUUCUCUCAGUUAUCUCAGGGGAUAUCCAUAUAGACUCCAGAAUUCCUUGCACGUAGAGACCAAGGAGAAAAAUUUACUCGAAAGAUGCAGAAUUUAAGAUAAUGGCAUGGGCCAGGCAGUGGUGGUGCACGCCUUUAAUCCCAGCACUCAGGAGGCAGAGGCAGGCGGUUCUCUGUGAGUUCGAGGCCAGCCUGGUCUAGAAGAGCUAGUUCCAGGACAGGAAACAAAAAGCUACAGAGAAACCCUGUCUCGAAAAAAAAAAAAAAAGAUAAUGGCACGGUCAGCUACUGCCAUGAAUGCAGAAGAACCUGGGUGUGUCAAAGGUAUACCUAAGAAAAAUGAGUGCCAUCAAAGUUACAAAAGGGAAUAAAUGAUAAAAUUUAUAUUUAAACAAUAGAAUUCUUUUCCAAAGAGAUUAAAUAUUUUUAAAGCAAAAAUGUUUAAUAUUAGUAUUCAGUUUGGUAACUUGGAAACAACUAUUAACUUUUUCUAAAGCAGAUCCCAUGGUGAGGGAAGGAGCGUGAAUUCUGUGGGAAGCAUAGAAAGGUAAACAUGGGGACACUAGUGGUUGAGUGUUUGCAGGGUAUUGUGCAGUAUUAGCUUCAUUGUCAGCAUCCCACAAAACUGUACAGAGUGGUGUAUGCCUGUAAUCACAGGCCUUGGGAAAAUAAGAAAUCGAAGGACCUCCUCUGCUACAUAGCAAAUUUUAGGUCAGUCCUUAGUUUAUGGAAACCUAUUUCCCCAAAUAAACAACAACAAAAAAUAGAACAUGUAGAUUUAGACAUUUAGGUAACCUGAUUGAAAAAUUCAAAAUCAUCCACAGUGAGGACCAGAAGAAAAAUUUCAAGUUUAACUAUUUACUUUGCUUGUAUGUAACCCUUUGUUGUUUGCACAGCAAUAACUUUAGUGUUACUAUUGGACUAUUAGAAAGAAAGUCAAAACAGGAGUUCUGGGAUAGCAAGGUUAAGGUAGAGGCACUUGAGUGUAGGCCUAAAACUCUGAGUUUCCAUGUGAGAACUCAUUCCUAAGAGCUGUUCUGUGGAGAACAUGUGCACACACACAUGUGCAUGUGAGUGAGAACACAGGAAAACGGAGUUAGACAUUCAGAAAUAGAUAAAUCUAGAAAGGAAACAUACAGAUAUUUUAUAAAUUUCUUUAUUAGCAAUGGAAAUUGAUGACAAAAAUAAACAGAAAGGAUUUAUUUGAAUCAAAACUUUAUAAAGUUUUAACAUCUUAAGAAAAACUUCAAUAGUGAUUGAAUUUUGGAAUGAAAGCAUUUAAUAUUUAGGUAGAAGCUAUUUAGCCAAGAAAUUAAACUUUGAAAGGGUGAAAAAUCUCAAAGUGUAUGUACAUGACAACUUUGAAUUUUAAGAUACAAAACAAAACUAUUAAAAAGACAGUGAGAUAAUGAGAAAACAAAAUAUUAAAGUUACAUGGAACAUCAAUGUUAAAGUUCCUUAAAAUGCUAGCAAUAGAUCUACCUUAUGAAUCAUCCCUACUAUACCUGGGCUUAUACUUAAUGCCAAUCUGAGAAACUUAAUCUUUUAUGUUCAUUGCUGCUCUAGUCAAAAUGGCCAGGGAAUAAAAAAAGUCUAUGUGUUCACCAAAUGAUAAAUGAAUAAUGAAAAUGUGGUAUACAAAAAUAAUGGGAUAUUAUGUAUUUUUAAAGAAAAAAAUAAAAUUAUGGGAGUAACCAGCCACUUUCUGAUUUGAUUCGAUGUAAGCCCAUUUAAUGAACCCCCUAUCCAGCACCAUUCUUGAGCCAAUAACCUGUGGUUAGACAGGCAAUUAUAGGCCCUAGAGGAGAACCUUCAAAUAUCCUUCUAAAUGGACACAGUAUUAAACUAACCAAUAAUGACUUAUUGUCAUGCUAAGCUUUUGGAUUUGUUUUGUUAUUUGAGACAGGGUCUCUCUACACAGCUCUGGCUGUCCUGGAACUCACAAUGUAGUGGCUAUCCUGAAAUCACAAAAAUCUGCUUGCCUCUGCCUCACAAGUGCUGGAGUCAAAGGUGAGUGCCACUACAUCUGGCAUGAUGACUUAUUGUUUGUUAUACUUCUGGAUUAGUGCCUCUCUCCACCCUCAUCAGAGGAGCCUCUAUGUGUUGUAGAAGCAAUUAACACAGAGACCCAUAACUGGUCAGGGUACAGAGAAGAAGAGACUGUAAAAUCAUUAGUCCUAAAUGGGAAUCUAUAUCAGCCCCUCACCUCCCAAGUCUUGGGGAAUCAUUGCAUAAAAGAAGACUAAAUGGGUAUAACAGGGAUUAAGUAUUAGUAGCAAAGCAGUAUGUGCUUGACACGAUGGCGCACAGAUGAUGUGAUUAGAUGGCUUGACUCUGCACAAAGUGUUUCUGAAAGCAAUCCUAUAGUACGAUAUAGUAAGAAGUGAAUCACCACAUCAGAAAAAUGAGAGGGCCAUGGAGGGGAAAUUCAUGGAAAAUACAUAUGGGUAAUUGAAACAAUACAAUGAAGUCCUUCUUAAAUAUGUAUAUGAAGAAACAGUCCUUAAAAAUUUUUACUUUUACUAUUCAUCUAAGGACCAUAACAUAAUUUUCUCGAUCAGAUCAAGCAGGCAAAUAAAAGCAGUAUACAAAGUCAUGCAAAUUGACAUAGACCUGUAGCACCCACACUUAGUUUGGGAAGCUUGUUGUACGCAGAUUGGUUGGUUGUGCUCCGGCUCCUCAGACUCCCGAAAUAAUCACACAGAAACUAUAUUCUUUUCAAUAGUGUUUGGCCAAUAGCUUAAGUGUAUUACUGGCUAACUCUUAUAUCCUAAACUAACCCAUCUCCAUUCAUCUGUUACCCAUUAUCAUCACGUGACUGUAGCUUACUGGGUAAAGUUCCUGGAGUCUGUCUCCCAUGGAGCUACAUGGCCUGUCACUGACUCCACCUUCUUUCUCUCAGCAUACAGUUUAAUUUUCCCUGCCUAGCUAAGUUCUGCCCUGCUAUAGGUCCAAAGCAGUUUCUUUAUUAACUAAUGGUAUUCACAUCAUAAAAAGGGGAAUUCCACAUCAGAUCCUGGGUCAGGAGGACUGAGUGCUCAAGAUAAGCAAAGGCUACAAAGGAGGGCAUUGUUAGAGGAAAACAAAACUCCUACAAUUCUUGUGAGAAUACUGGAAACAGUGAAACCAUUUGCCUUAGUGGUAUGAAUAUAAACCCAAACAGUUUACUAGCGAUAAAUUGGUAAUAACACCGAGUUUUAAAUAUUUAGGUUUUUAUGUGUUUAAGAAAUUCUAAUUUUAAUGCUUUCUUCAGUAAAUAACAAUUUAAAGUUAUUUGUACAAGGAUGUUCCCUGUGGUGAUGUCAACAGAAGUGUAAAUUGAAAUGAAUGCUUGAAUUUAAAAAUGAAAGAGGAGGUUAACAAAUAUCAAGGAGAAUAAGCCAAAUCUUCAUGUUCUGACCCAAGAAAUUGUUAUUUACUGAUUAGUGAGUAAUGGGAGCAGAGCUGAGCCUGGUAGAGCAUGCCUGUAAUACCACCUACUCAGAGAAUGACAAAUAUCACCCCUGCUUGUGUUUCAAGGAAAUGCAGUGUGACUUAAUAAGAUCCUGCUCAAAACACAUUUAUAAAGAAGUACUGGACAUGUGCUUCAAUUUUCCUGGCAUGCAUGGAACCUUAUAUCUACUCCUCAGUACAACAAAAUAAGUGGGAAGAAAAGGAAGAAAAGUAAGUUGUAAUAAGAAUAGUAAACAAAUUAUAGUCCAUUAUAAGCAUACUAAAAUUUGUGUGCAACGGAUAAUAGACAAUAGGUGCUUUUCUUUAAUUUAAAUUUUUACCUCUAUUUAAAUUGAUACUUAAGUACUUCUCUUAGGCAAUAUAGAGAUUCUGUGAUUUACCUAAAAUUGUUAUUUUUUGACUGUCUGUAUCUUAGAUGAUCAUUUUUCCAGGAAGGGAAGGGAAUCAACUUCAGCUUCCUCUUAUCUGGGAACUUAACCACAGUGAGAUGCUUAGAAUUCUCUCACCAAAGCCUAUGCCAAAGAAAACCCAAAAUGUGACUACUUCAAGUAAACAGUAAAGACAGAUUCAAAACCAUGUCUAGAAACAGGAAUCCUGGAGUUUUAAAAGACAGGUUUUCCAAUAGAACUGUUAUCAGACAAUUGGAAACAACUUCAAACACAAGUGUUUGUUGUACCCUGGAAAACUACAACACAUAACCUAAAGAAGGGCUCAAAUAUUCUAUUCAGUAAAUGUUUUAUGAAUUCUGUGUUGGAGGUAACUGCUUUCCAAUACUGUAUUUAACAGUGAACCAAAACCUCAAGUGUCUUCUCUUCAUGGAACCGCAAGGCUAGUAUGGAGAAAAAAAUAAACAACACACACACACACACACACACACACGCACGCACACACACACCACAUGAAAUGCAUUAUGUACUGUGAAAUAUGGUGUGAAAUAUUAUUAGGGAGUUCUAGGUUGAAUAAGAAUAUCAGUUUUAUGCAGAAAUGGUUAAGAAAGGCUUGGUCAAGUGGAACUUGAAAAGACCCAAAGAAGUCAGAAACAAGCCAUGGAGGUACAAGGAAAAGAUGACCCUAGGGAGCUGGUCAGGUCACAUAUUGACUGUGUUUUUAGAAGGGGCAUGAAACCACCAAAGAAUGUGUGUUGGCAAGGAGCAACUGGGCAUGAGACAUGGUGAAGGGCCAGGCUACGCAGGGUGUCCAGUGUCCUUCUGGGAUUUUAGUUUUUUCUAUGCAAUAGAGGGAGUCCUUGGAGCAUUGUAAGCAAAAGUAGCCUUGACUGGGGUAAAUCAGGAACUAAUUAUGCAGAGGACACCAGUUGUCUGCACAGUGGCUUGCAUCAUUUAAUUGCCUUUUAAAUUAAGUUAUUAGCUUUUGUACAUAUGAGGAGUGGAUCUAACCCUUUCAUAAAAUUUUAAUCUUUACAACAAUAAUAUUAUCAGAAAAUAGUAGCACAAUGGCAGCCAAAUAUAGAAAAAGGAGAAAUACUGUGUAGAAAUGAGGCAAUCUAUGAUCAGCAUCACAGGAAGACAGGACAGAAAGUUUUCUUGAGUAUACCGAAAGGGCCUGCUAGGAGAUGUGUUUGUGUGCAUAUUUAUGUAAGAUUUUAGGAAUUUUCAUCCUGAUACCCUUAAUCUCCCCUUGAGAAUAUAAAAAGGUUAAUUUGCUUAGAGAAAGAUUCUAGAGUUGAAAUUGAGGGCUUGAAGCGGUUGGCAAACAUUUGAAAUAGCUGUAGUGGGAAAUGGAGCUGAGAAGGCAGCUGAAAUUGAGAACCAUAAAAAUAUAGUGUCACCAUUGCUCACAUUUAUGCGACUUUCUCCAAAAGUCCCCUAGCAGCUCAGAAACCAGAGUAGAAAGGGCAGAUGUUUAGUGUAAACCAAGUUUCUGAACUCAGUGCAACAUCAACAGGCUUGGGACAAGAUAUACUGUGAAAGAUAAAAUUCAUCUUUCAUUAUGUAGGCAAUUACAAAAGUAGACAAAACAUAGGAAACAGAUUAUUUAGAUCUUUGCCACUAUAUAAUUUAAAACAGUGUCAUCUGAGGGAUAGAAACAAAUGAGUCAAGACCUACAGUUGUACAAACUAAUAUCACACGUAUAUCUAUACAUCAGUGGAAGCAUAAACAUAAUCAGAUCCCAGAUUCUUGGCUGAAUACAAUGGCUGAGUUGGGAGUUCUGAAAGGUCAAAGUAGGCAGGCCUGAUGGUGGGGGAAUAUAACCCUACAAAGAUGGCUCAGGAGGUCUGAAGAGGAUUUCAUUUGAGCAUUUGAUAAAGGAUUCAUCUGCAAAUACAUAUAAGGAGGAAAGUACCAGAAGUUAUGGCAAGAAGAAAGAAAGUAAGAACAGAAAUCCCUCCAACUGACAUAGAGGAAGGACAAUCUCAUGUUUUAUUAAGCUAUAGUAGGAAGACCUUCAAGACAAGUAUAACUAAAUAUGUAGGGCAUGAAAACUUGUCUCUAAAUAUAAACAUAGGAUGCACAUUAUUGAAGUUCACUUAAAAUGGACCUAAAAACUGAUUCCAAAUAGUAUUAUCCUGUUCAAGAAUAAAACUUGAUAAUAUGUGUCUUAAUUAUGGUUUCUAUUGCUGUGAAGAGACACCAUGACCACAGCAACUCUUAUAAAGAAAAACAUAUAAUUGGGUGGCUUACAUUUAAAAGGUUCAGUCAAUUGUCAUCACGGCGAGACAUGGCAGUAUGCCAGGAGACAUGGUGCUAGAGCUGAGAGUGCUAUAUCUUGCAUGCAACAGGAAGUGCACUGUGCAUCACACCUAGGAAAGCUUGAGCAAAAUGACAUCAAAGCCCACUUCCGCACUUCCUCCAACAAGACCACAGCUAUUUUAUCUAGGCCACACCUCCUAAUAGAGCCACCCCCUUUGGGGGACAUUUUCUCUCUAGCCACCACACUAUGUUCAGAAAUAAAAAUGUAAAAAUGAUAAAAUUCACAAUUGUUAGUUUUGAAAAAUGAAACAUUAUUUAGCAAAGUAACAGGAAAAUCACACUUCAAGCCAAGAAGCAUGUCAAGCCCUGUCAGGAAACACAAACGACUGGUGGAGGGAAUUAUCUUUUGCACUAUCAAAUAGCCUUAAAUCAGAAACAAAUUUUAUAUGCUUUAAAAUUAGAAGAAAUUAUGAUAUUAUUAAAGUAAUAGAAUAUUAAAAUUUAACAUGAAAUUUAAAUUCACUGAAACGAACAGCCAAUGAGGCCAAAGGAAUUAUUAUGGAGUUAGUCAUAAGAUAUGGCAAUAUCAAUAUUUCAAAACAACAGUCAGAAUCAAGUAGUAUUGAAUUAAGUGAACAACAGCAAAAAUGAAGAUUAAAAAACUAUGGAAAAUUCCAAGUAGUUGUGAGAACUUCAGUCAUUAAUAGAAUCUCAUAAAGCAAAGAGGGAAAAAGAGAGAGAGAGAAAUUUCAAAUUUUCUAAAUUUGUUAAAUAUUAUUAACGUUAUAAAUCUAAAAAUUCAACAAAGUUCAGGCAAAAUGAAUAAGAACAAAACUAUACCAAAAUAUAUAUUAAAAAUUACUAAAUAAAAACAACAAUGAAGAAAAUCUUGUAGGUACUCUUUUUUUGGGGGAAAUAAGACAUAUUAUUUACAGUAUAACAAAAGAAAAACAACAGAAUUUAAACUAUAAAAAAUCUAUAACUAAAAACAAUGGGUUGAUAUAUUUGGGAAAAAAACCUAGAGAAUCAUUUAUUAUGAGAGAAGGAUCACCAUACCUGACUACAAGUUAUAUUACUUCACUACUAAAUUAACAUGGUGCUGGCACCAGAUCAGGCAAAAAGAUCAGUGGAGUAGAAAUUUAAAAACCCACACUAAGCUAUACCUAACCUUAAACAAAGAUGCCAAAAUCAUGCAUCAGAGAAGACAGUCUCUUCACAAAAGGUGCUGGGAGAGUCAGAACUGGAUAUUUACAUAUAAAAGAAUGAAACCAGAUCAUUAUCUCUUACUCUAUACAUAAAUCAAUUAAAAUGGAUUAACAAGCAUAGUGGAAAAAAACAUACUAUAAGUACUGGUUAGCUCAGGAAAUAAAGCCAAGAUCUGACAAAUGAAUUGCAUGAAAUUACAAGACUUCUACAUGCCAAAGGAAACAAUCCAGUGGCGAGGCAUUCUCACAGUAUAUUUCUACUAGUUGAAUACAUUUAACAGGAGAUUAAUGUCUUGACUGCAUAAAGAAAUAGCCAGCCUGGUCUAGAAGAGGUAGUUCCAGGACAGGAACCAAAAGCUACAGAGAAACCCUGU
Alexandromys fortis (reed vole) is the source of this 18412-nucleotide long non-coding RNA. RefSeq lists it as uncharacterized. Lineage: Eukaryota; Metazoa; Chordata; Mammalia; Rodentia; Cricetidae. The record is from RefSeq and is a predicted model, not a curated record. The transcript is spliced from 3 exons.